This 492-nucleotide ribosomal RNA is filed under the name uncultured bacterium. RNAcentral's name for it is "partial 16S ribosomal RNA". It matches the Rfam family "Bacterial small subunit ribosomal RNA", at positions 29 to 507 of the family's 1533-position model. The record is from RNAcentral.
AGUGAACGCUGGCGGUAGGCCUAUCACAUGCAAGUCGAACGGCAGCACAGUAAGAGCUUGCUCUUACGGGUGGCGAGUGGCGGACGGGUGAGGAAUACAUCGGAAUCUACUUUUUCGUGGGGGAUAACGUAGGGAAACUUACGCUAAUACCGCAUACGACCUACGGGUGAAAGCAGGGGAUCUUCGGACCUUGCGCGAUUGAAUGAGCCGAUGUCGGAUUAGCUAGUUGGCGGGGUAAAGGCCCACCAAGGCGACGAUCCGUAGCUGGUCUGAGAGGAUGAUCAGCCACACUGGAACUGAGACACGGUCCAGACUCCUACGGGAGGCAGCAGUGGGGAAUAUUGGACAAUGGGCGCAAGCCUGACCCAGCCAUACCGCGUGGGUGAAGAAGGCCUUCGGGUUGUAAAGCCCUUUUGUUGGGAAAGAAAAGCAGCAGGUUAAUACCCCGCUGUUCUGACGGUACCCAAAGAAUAAGCACCGGCUAACUUCGUG